UACGUAGGGACCAAGCGUUGUCCGGAAUCAUUGGGCGUAAAGAGCGUGUAGGCGGUUUGUCGCGUCUGCUGUGAAAACUCGGGGCUUAACCCCGGGCCUGCAGUGGGUACGGGCAGACUAGAGUGUGGUAGGGGAGACUGGAAUUCCUGGUGUAGCGGUGAAAUGCGCAGAUAUCAGGAGGAACACCGAUGGCGAAGGCAGGUCUCUGGGCCAUAACUGACGCUGAGAAGCGAAAGCAUGGGGAGCGAACAGG
Molecule: ribosomal RNA, 253 nt
Filed under: uncultured bacterium
Lineage: Bacteria
Description: partial 16S ribosomal RNA
Rfam family: Bacterial small subunit ribosomal RNA
Source: RNAcentral